This 1201-nucleotide long non-coding RNA is filed under the name Equus caballus (horse). RNAcentral describes it as "lncRNA (ENSECAG00000047158.1)". The record is from RNAcentral. Lineage: Eukaryota; Metazoa; Chordata; Mammalia; Perissodactyla; Equidae.
AGAUUCCUCCUCCAUGUUGCACAGCCCUUAAACUCGUACCACACCCAGAUGAGUCCUGACCUGAAGCAGACUGACCUGAAAGUCCACUGCCACCAGAUAUAUAAAUUCCUUCUGGGAGUCUGGCUUAUGUCCAGUUCUCCGCUUGACCUGAUUUGAGCAUUCUGGUAAUCUUAGGACUGGGAUAAAUCAGAAGGUACUUGGUUCAAUUGUUCAUGAGUGCAAGAAUAUUCCUCAGAACAUUUUUUAUUAUUUCUGUUACUAUAAGUUCGUUUUGCCGUUGGAAAGAUUUGGGGUUUUUUUUCUUUUCAGAUUUCUGAAAAGCUUUGUGUGCAUCUUUGUUCUCUCAGCAGCAGAUCAUGUUGAAAAGACACCUUUGAUGCUGCCUCUCUAGGCCGAGGGCAUUCCGAGUAAAUACAGAAAUCUAUUUUUAAUACAGCAUUUGUUGACAACUGUGCAUGUCCGUCAGAAAUAAAUGAAUCUGGGAGGAAAUCUGUGAAGGCAGGAAGCUAAGAGUAGGAGGGAAAACAUACAGGCAGAAAUUAUGAUUAUGAGGACAUUGGCUUCCUUCUUGAUGGGUGUGACCGGAAUAUUUCUUUAGUGGAUACCAGAAUAAUGGCCGUUUCUCAGAAAUCAUCAUGUUCUGGAGUCUAAGGAUGAGGGGCAGAUAAAUAUAAUGAAAACUUCGGCCAAAAAAGCACCCUAAAAAUUUGCAAAUAAAAAUUAAUGAGAAAAAUGCCACAUUCUGAAAACCAGAAGCUGGAUUCUCUGAAAUAGCUGGAAGAGAAGAGGCUCUUUAUGGAACACUAAGUCGACCUGCCUCCUGCAGGAGAUCAUUAGCCACGUCCCUAGGGCCGAGGGCAUGCCUCUCCAGCCUCGUCUGCUUCUUCCUGCACCUCAGCCAGAACUGUGGUUGUGUAGCCCCUUGGCCAGCUGGCCUUCUCUGCCCAACUCAGUUGUCCUGCUCCGCCCCACACCCCUGCUCUGCCCUUCCCAGCCUUUCUUGGCAUUCAAGAGUGAACUCUAGCGCCACUUCAAAGAUUGUGCCAGCCCAGAAUAAUCUCUGCCAUCUAGAAAUUCCUCUGGCCCAGGAUUUGGGUGGGGGAUCAUUAGGAGUCACCUUAGGGUCUGUUCACCGCAGAUGAAUCUUAUGGGCAUAAUGAUUGGCAACUGAAACCAGACACAAAGACCACAGACAGUCUCA